Molecule: microRNA precursor, 206 nt
Filed under: Oryza glumipatula
Lineage: Eukaryota; Viridiplantae; Streptophyta; Magnoliopsida; Poales; Poaceae
Description: MIR812 microRNA precursor family
Rfam family: MIR812 microRNA precursor family
Source: Rfam by way of RNAcentral
AAUAAAUGACGUCGUUGACUUUUUUUUUCACAUAUUUGACCAUUCGUUUUAUUCAAAAAAUUUACGUAAUUAUAAUUUAUUUUGUUAUGAGUUGUUUUAUCACUCAUAGUACUUUAAGCGUAAUUUAUAUCUUAUAUAUUUGCAUAAAAUUUUUGAAUAAGACGAAUGGUCAAAAAUAUGAGAAAAAGUUAACGGCGUCAUCUAUU